AAGCCUGUCUCAGUUCGGAUUGGAGUCUGCAACCCGACUCCAUGAAGCUGGAUUCGCUAGUAAUCGCGCAUCAGCCACGGCGCGGUGAAUACGUUCCCGGGCCUUGUACACACCGCCCGUCAAGCCAUGGAAGCCGGGGGUGCCUGAAGUGCGCUGCCGCAAGGAGCGUCCUAGGGUAAAACCGGUGACUGGGGCUAAGUCGUAACAAGGUAGC
RNAcentral lists this ribosomal RNA (214 nucleotides) under uncultured bacterium. Its description in RNAcentral is "partial 16S ribosomal RNA". It matches the Rfam family "Bacterial small subunit ribosomal RNA", at positions 1279 to 1500 of the family's 1533-position model. The record is from RNAcentral.